CAUUCCGCGUGUGUGAAGAAGGCCUUCGGGUUGUAAAACACUUUCAGUAAGGAGGAAAGGUUAAGUUUUAAUAGAACUUAGCUGUGACGUUACUUACAGAAGAAGCACCGGCUAAUUCCGUGCCAGCAGCCGCGGUAAUACGGAGGGUGCGAGCGUUAAUCGGAAUUACUGGGCGUAAAGCGUACGCAGGCGGUUUGUUAAGCGAGAUGUGAAAGCCCCGGGCUCAACCUGGGAACUGCAUUUUGAACUGGCAAACUAGAGUGUGAUAGAGGGUGGUAGAAUUUCAGGUGUAGCGGUGAAAUGCGUAGAGAUCCGAAGGAAUACCGA
Molecule: ribosomal RNA, 327 nt
Filed under: uncultured Pseudoalteromonas sp.
Lineage: Bacteria; Pseudomonadati; Pseudomonadota; Gammaproteobacteria; Alteromonadales; Pseudoalteromonadaceae
Description: bacterial SSU rRNA
Rfam family: Bacterial small subunit ribosomal RNA
Source: RNAcentral